GCACCCAUCCUGGAGCGAGCCUGCUGGGCUGCUGGCAUUCACAGUACAGGAACAAAAGACACCUUCAUGUUUUCAAGGAAGUCCUGGUGCAGGGGCAGGCUAAGGAGCAGCAGGUGUGACCCAGGAAAUGUAGAAAACUGGCUGUCACCUGAGCACCUUGUUUCUCCAAAGCAUGAUCGAGGCAGGCCACAGGGCAGUGUCGCCAGAAGCCACCUCGGCUGAUGAGGCUGCAGGCCGGGAGACCCGUCAGGACUGAGGUCCCAGGACUUCACCCCCCUGAAGACGUACGGGACCAGAUGAGACAACCGAGGCUGCCAGGGUCUCACAUCUUUCCCACCCAUCAAGAAGUCACUAGCCGGCUGGCUGCUGUCAGAAGCAGCACAGAGAAGAGGUCAGGAGCUUGGGCCCUGGGGCCAGGAUGUGUGGGUGCCAGCUGAGUGACCUGGAACGUGGCGAGGAGCUCUUUGCACCAGUGUCCUCAUUUGUAAAUGUGGAUGAUGACAACAACAAGUGUCUGGCAGAUGGGCCUUUGGUGAGGAUUGGAAGAGACUAUACAUAUGGAGAUAGGUAGUAGGUGCUUGAGAAAUGCUUGCUACCAUUACAGACUGGGCCACCAAACCAAGUGCUGCCUGUGGUUCUGUUCUCCUACCACACUCCCACCAAGCUUUCCAAGGUACCAAUAAAUCUCCUUCCCCAAAGGUGUUCAUGGUGUUUUCUGAACUCUGUUCCUUCACCUACAUUUUCCUCUCUACCUGGUAUGCCAUUUCCCUACUUCUUUGGAACAAACCCCUCAAACAUCAAGACCCACGGCAAAUCAGUAGAUUGUCACAAAUUCAUUCUUUGUGAAUGUUUUACUGCCCUGAGAUUCCUGCAGCCGGUCGUGCUUCCUAUGGAAUCGUUUGGUACUUUGUUCAUAGUAGGUGACCCCACCUUGCACAGUGC
Long non-coding RNA from Heterocephalus glaber (naked mole-rat), 942 nucleotides. NCBI's taxonomy places the organism in Eukaryota, Metazoa, Chordata, Mammalia, Rodentia, Bathyergidae. The record is from Ensembl.